GGGGUUGUGGCUCAGUGGUAGAGCGCUUGCCUCAUCUGUGUGAGGCACUGAGUUCGAUCCUCAGCACCACA
RNAcentral lists this transfer RNA (71 nucleotides) under Marmota monax (woodchuck). RNAcentral's name for it is "tRNA.Met". It matches the Rfam family "tRNA". Rfam says of the family: Transfer RNA (tRNA) molecules are approximately 80 nucleotides in length. Their secondary structure includes four short double-helical elements and three loops (D, anti-codon, and T loops). The record is from RNAcentral. Lineage: Eukaryota; Metazoa; Chordata; Mammalia; Rodentia; Sciuridae.